GGGGUUAGAUGUGAGGGUAAGUGGUGUUUUUGGAAAAUAUUUUCCUAACUUUUUCUAGGAAAGUCAUUUUACUCCAAUUUCAGGAAAAUGUGAUAUUAGGAAAACAUUUUCCAAACUAUUUUGUACAACCAAACAGUAGAAAAUGAAAAAAUAUUUUCCGACAUACCAACAUCCUUAGUGGUGGCAUAAUAAUAACAAACAACAACAACAACAACUACCCAGU
Molecule: long non-coding RNA, 223 nt
Filed under: Nicotiana benthamiana
Lineage: Eukaryota; Viridiplantae; Streptophyta; Magnoliopsida; Solanales; Solanaceae
Description: long non-coding RNA (NBEN_LNC020070)
Source: RNAcentral